UCUCCUCCGUGAUCUGCAAAUAAAUAUCAAAUAAAUCCAAAUUUAUCAAAUACAUAUAUAAAAAAAAUAGAAGAAUUCGAAAUCCACCCCCUCAGCCCACGUAAAAACCGUUUCUUCCCUCACCCCUAAAUCUCUCACAUAUCUGUAACAACCCUCCCUCUAUAUUAAUCACAACACAAUCUCAUACAUUCAAAAUCGGAGGAAAACAAUAUAGAGAAAUCUCCUUGCAAUUGCAACUGCUCGAUCAAACAAAAGUUGAGAGGAAAACAGAACUGCCGUGAUUCCUUUUAAAUUUUGCUGCUAGGCAAUUUCUUCUCUCCAAAGUUCAGAUUGGUUUCGGGGCUGCUCGAACAGCGAGCGGACCACGGCAGGGGCGAACUGCAGACGGCGGUGGCGCUGCAUCUUCUGACGGUGGCUGACCGCAGCCUGCUGUGACCGAACCCGACACUGACGGCACCGGCGCUGAGCGACGGCGUGGACGCGGCCAGCAGUAGCUCUUCCCGGCGGCGACGGAGCAGCGGCGUCUGACGGAGGCAGGGGCUGGACGAUGGUGACGAAUCGGCGGCGAAAUCGCUGAAAUCAGUAGCCAUCUCCGGCGAAAUCAAGAAGCAGUAGCCAGCUCCGGCGAAAUCAAGGGAGAAGCCGACGGGAAUCUGAGAGAGUUAGCUUCAAUUUUGUCGAGAGAGAAAGAAAUUGAGAGAUAGAGAGAGAUAAAUAGAGAGACGUGGGGAUGAUGGGAGUGUAUAGUGGGCCUUUGUUUUUUUAGAAAUUGGGCCUCGACACUUAAGUGGGAUGUUUUGUUUGGUUUGGGCUCCAUUUAUUUUGUGUUGGGCUUUAAAAUUUAAGUGGAGAAAUAAGGUGGACUAAGUAAAUAAUUAUUUUGGGCCAGAUUAAUUAAAUCCUUGGGCCGAUAAUUUGAUCGUGGGGAAUUAUUAUU
Molecule: long non-coding RNA, 937 nt
Organism: Salvia splendens (bonfire salvia)
Lineage: Eukaryota; Viridiplantae; Streptophyta; Magnoliopsida; Lamiales; Lamiaceae
Exons: 2
Source: RefSeq, a predicted model, not a curated record